Molecule: long non-coding RNA, 523 nt
Filed under: Daucus carota (carrot)
Lineage: Eukaryota; Viridiplantae; Streptophyta; Magnoliopsida; Apiales; Apiaceae
Description: long non-coding RNA (DCAR_LNC003586)
Source: RNAcentral
GUAAGAAAUUCCUUUAUAUAUUAUCUUUAUAUUAUUGUUUAUUGUAAGAUUAUAACUACUACUUAAGCUAUACUUUAAGUUAUGCUAAUGGAACUAAACUGUAAUGUUUACAAGAAAUGCAGAUUGAGAAAAGAUUUGAGGAGGUGAAAAAAGAAAAAUCCAAUCCACAAGCAAAAUUUCAGAAAAGUCUAUAUUCAAAAGAAUUCAGCAGGCUCUGAUGGAUGGAAAACGAGCUCAAUCAGUUUGAAAAGGAUGUUAUAAAGGACAUGUGUUUACUUGCUAUAUCCACAUGAUGUGUGCUUGAUUAGUAAUACCUUUUAGCAAAUUGGAUGUUGAAAAAUUGGUGUAUUGAUACUUUUGUCUAUUUUCUUGAUAGUUCUAGACGCGUAGUUGGUAAUAAUCUUAGUAUUGUUUUAGGAUGUUCUUGUAAUGAACCUUUGAAGGUGGAUCAAUGUAUUUUCGAAAUGGUCAUGUCAAAUUUUUAACAAGCCGUUGCAAUAUAUGCCUAUAAUGUUGCCUUAAU